Molecule: ribosomal RNA, 445 nt
Filed under: uncultured bacterium
Lineage: Bacteria
Description: SSU rRNA
Rfam family: Bacterial small subunit ribosomal RNA
Source: RNAcentral
AGAACGAACGCUGGCGGCAGGCUUAACACAUGCAAGUCGAACGAUGUAGCAAUACAUAGUGGCGCACGGGUGAGUAACACGUGGGAACAUGCCUUUCAGUUCAGGAUAACACCGGGAAACCGGUGCUAAUACUGGAUAUUCCCUCCGGGGGAAAGAUUUAUCGCUGAAAGAUUGGCCCGCGUUAGAUUAGGUAGUUGGUGGGGUAAUGGCCUACCAAGCCUACGAUCUAUAGCUGGUCUGAGAGGACGACCAGCCACACUGGAACUGAGACACGGUCCAGACUCCUACGGGAGGCAGCAGUGGGGAAUAUGGACAAUGGGCGCAAGCCUGAUCCAGCCAUGCCGCGUGAGUGAUGAAGGCCUUAGGGUUGUAAAGCUCUUUUGUCAGGGAAGAUAAUGACGGUACCUGAAGAAUAAGCACCGGCUAACUUCGUGCCAGCAGCCGC